CGCGGUCUUCGGUAGUGGCUGCCGGGUUCCCCAAACCGGGGUAGACCGGCAGCUUCGACUGAUGGCCGUA
Molecule: non-coding RNA, 70 nt
Organism: Mycobacterium sp.
Lineage: Bacteria; Bacillati; Actinomycetota; Actinomycetes; Mycobacteriales; Mycobacteriaceae
Source: Rfam